Molecule: long non-coding RNA, 1332 nt
Filed under: Bos indicus x Bos taurus (hybrid cattle)
Lineage: Eukaryota; Metazoa; Chordata; Mammalia; Artiodactyla; Bovidae
Description: lncRNA (ENSBIXG00005030232.1)
Source: RNAcentral
AUGAGGCAGAAAAGCAUGGAUGGUGUAAAUAGCCCAAAGACACCGACAGAGAAGACAGCUCUCCACCCCUGCCCUCCUUCGCCUCCUUGGGAGGCGCAGAGUAGCCAGGAAGCCCUCCACCCCCGCGGUGAGGGUCUCGCACGCGCCGCGCUGGGCGCUCUACUCGCCCAUACGAGCCGGAUUUCCGAGUUAGUGGAGCGCGAGCAGCAGAAUGGGGGGAAUCACCCCGACACUGCUUUCCGCUCACCUCCGGAUCUCUCUAUCAGAGCCAAACCCUCCUCCCGGCCGCUGAGCCGAGUUCCAAUGUGGCUGGCGCCUCCAGUCAGACCUGCCGCGCCCUCCUGCCCGCGCGCUGCCCGAGGGAUGCGGGGCUGGACGCCCGCCCUGGGCCCCAGGACGAGGCGGACAGAGGGCCCGGGUGACAGUCCGAUUUCUCUGUCCCCGAGGCAGGCAGUCAGCCCCCGGCAAUCCUGGACCGGCGAGGCCGAACAGGCUUCGCGAACGCACCUCCGCCCGACUUAUUUUGAAAAACUUCAGGAAAACCAUCAGCACAUCGAGCCCAAAUUGCAAGGCUGGCCCGGGGGCGCCCGCGCGCUCGGACCCACCCGGCCGCGCGGACGGACAGUUCCCAUCCACCCCGGGUCCUCAGUCCCCGCCCCGAGCCCCGCUCACUCACGCGCGCCGGGCCAGACCUCGCGGCCAGCCGUGUCGCGGGCCGGGGCAGCCGCAUGGUCCCUGGGAGCUCGCGUGCGCCAAGGCGCAGGAGCCGCGUCCGUGUGGGGGUCCCGCCGGGCGGAAAGCGCCGCGGAGCAGGUCGGCGAGGCCAAGCCGAGGCGGGCGGCGGACGUGCGGCCGCGGGCAGGGACCCGGCAAGGCCCGCCCCGGGGCGGGGACCUCAGGACCCGGGGGCCUGGCCACGAAGCCGGAGACAUUCCCCCCACUCCCCACCCCCACCUCCUCGGAGGGAGCUGCUCUGGGGCCGAGAGGGAGAGGCGAGCGGGUGCCCAGAGCCAGCAGGGCAUGGCCACGGCCAAGGCCAAGAUAGGGAUCGGCAGAGGGCGGCGAUCCAGGGGCGCGCUUACCCGGCUUCGGAGGCGCCUUCGAAAGCACGCGCUGGCCGGGAGCAUCCCAGCGCAAAUCCGGGAGCCCCGCGUGGUCCUCCGCCCGCCGCGCGCCCUCCCUUCUGCCUCCUUCGGGGAACCUCGGCUUGGAUUAACGCCUUACUCUUUACCUCUGCUGAGCGGCUCCCCUCCGGCGGCGGCUCCGAGGUUGGGCUCCCACGGGGUCUGCGCGCGUCCUUCCGGGCGCCCCGGGCUGGAGAGGCCCACGUGA